AACGCACAUUGCGCCCUCUGGUAUUCCGGGGGGCAUGCCUGUCCGAGCGUCAUUGCAUCAAUCAAGCCCGGCUUGUGUGAUGGGUCUUCUUUCGUCCCGAAUGGGGGACGGGCCCGAAAUGCAGUGGCGGCGUCGUGGUUAUCCAACGGCCUGAGUGUAUGGGGCUCUGUCACACGCUCACCAGCCAGGACCGGCGCCGGCCUCGAACCAAUCUAUCUUCUUAGGUUGACCUCGGAUCAGGUAGGGAUACCCGCUGAACUUAA
Molecule: unclassified non-coding RNA, 263 nt
Filed under: uncultured Onygenales
Lineage: Eukaryota; Fungi; Ascomycota; Eurotiomycetes; Onygenales
Description: sequence contains 5.8S rRNA gene, ITS2, 28S rRNA gene
Source: RNAcentral